GCGAAAGUGAGGGUACCUGCAGAAGAAGCACCGGCCAACUACGUGCCAGCAGCCGCGGUAAUACGUAGGGUGCAAGCGUUGUCCGGAAUUAUUGGGCGUAAAGAGCUCGUAGGCGGUCUGUUGCGUCGGCUGUGAAAACCCGGGGCUCAACCCCGGGCCUGCAGCCGAUACGGGCAGACUAGAGUUCGGCAGGGGAGACUGGAAUUCCUGGUGUAGCGGUGAAAUGCGCAGAUAUCAGGAGGAACACCGGUGGCGAAGGCGGGUCUCUGGGCCGAUACUGACGCUGAGGAGCGAAAGCGUGGGGAGCAAACAGGAUUAGAUACCCUGGUAGUCCACGCCGUAAACGUUGGGCGCUAGGUGUGGGUUCCCUUCCACGGGAUCCGUGCCGCAGCUAACGCAUUAAGCGCCCCGCCUGGGGAGUACGGCCGCAAGGCUAAAACUCAAAGGAAUUGACG
This 455-nucleotide ribosomal RNA is filed under the name uncultured Actinomycetes bacterium. Its description in RNAcentral is "SSU rRNA". It matches the Rfam family "Bacterial small subunit ribosomal RNA", at positions 463 to 915 of the family's 1533-position model. Lineage: Bacteria; Bacillati; Actinomycetota; Actinomycetes. The record is from RNAcentral.